Molecule: ribosomal RNA, 274 nt
Filed under: uncultured bacterium
Lineage: Bacteria
Description: partial 16S ribosomal RNA
Rfam family: Bacterial small subunit ribosomal RNA
Source: RNAcentral
AGACGUAGGGGGCAAGCGUUGCUCGGAAUCACUGGGCUUAAAGGGCGCGUAGGCGGUUGUCCAAGUUCAGGGUAGAAGCCCCUGGCUCAACCAGGGAAAUGCCUUGAAGACUGAAUGACUUGAGUAAGUGAGGGGAGGGCGGAAUUCCCGGUGUAGCGGUGAAAUGCGUAGAUAUCGGGAGGAAGGCCUGUGGCGAAGGCGGCCCUCUGGCACUUGACUGACGCUGAGGCGCGAAAGCGUGGGGAGCAAACAGGAUUAGAUACCCGAGUAGUCC